This 253-nucleotide ribosomal RNA is filed under the name uncultured bacterium. Its description in RNAcentral is "partial 16S ribosomal RNA". It matches the Rfam family "Bacterial small subunit ribosomal RNA", at positions 524 to 776 of the family's 1533-position model. The record is from RNAcentral.
UACAGAGGGGGCAAGCGUUGUUCGGAAUUACUGGGCGUAAAGGGCGCGUAGGCGGCCUGCUAAGUCGAACGUGAAAUCCCUGGGCUCAACCCAGGAACUGCGUCCGAUACUGGUUGGCUUGAAUCCGGGAGAGGGAUGUGGAAUUCCAGGUGUAGCGGUGAAAUGCGUAGAUAUCAGGAGGAACACCGGUGGCGAAGGCGGUGGUCUGGGCCGGCACUGACGCUGAGGAGCGAAGGCCAGGGGAGCAAACGGG